GAUGAACGCUGGCGGCGUGCCUAACACAUGCAAGUCGAGCGGCAGCGCGGGGUGCUUGCACCCUGUCGGCGAGCGGCGGACGGCUGAGUAACGCGUGGGAACGUGCCCCAAAGUGAGGAAUAACUGCCCGAAAGGGUAGCUAAUACCGCAUAUUAUCUUCGGAUCAAAGGAUUUAUCCGCUUUGGGAGCGGCUCGCGUCGGAUUAGGUAGUUGGUGAGGUAAUGGCUCACCAAGCCGACGAUCCGUAGCUGGUCUGAGAGGAUGACCAGCCAGACUGGAACUGCGACACAGUCCAGACUCCUACGGGAGGGAGCAGUGAGGAAUCUACCACAAUGGGCGAAAGCCUGAUGGAGCAACGCCGCGUACAGGACGAAGGCCUUCGGGUUGUAAUCUGCUUUUAUAAGUGAGGAAUAUGACGGUAACUUAUGAAUAAGGAUCGGCUAACUACGUG
RNAcentral lists this ribosomal RNA (451 nucleotides) under uncultured bacterium. RNAcentral describes it as "partial 16S ribosomal RNA". It matches the Rfam family "Bacterial small subunit ribosomal RNA", at positions 28 to 507 of the family's 1533-position model. The record is from RNAcentral.